UGAAGGAAUGAACGGUCAGAAUCUUGAUGGCCGUAAUAUUACUGUGAAUGAAGCUCAGUCCCGCGGAAGUGGAGGUGGCAACGGUGGGUACAAUCGUGGUGGCGGUGGCUACGGAGGUGGUGGACGCCGUGAAGGUGGUUACGGAGGUGGUUACAACCGUGGUGGAGGUGGAUAUGGUGGAGGUGGUUAUGGUGGUGGCCGUGACCGUGGAUACGGUGAUGGGGGAUCUCGUUACUCUAGGGGUGGUGGUGCCUCUGACGGAAACUGGAGGAAUUAGGGUGUAGCGUUAAUAUUCUGUGAUGGGUUUGCUGUGAUUUGUUGGGUUUAUGAUUCCUUAGGAUGUUCGGUUAGCUGGUCUUUAUUGAUGGUAUCUUCCCUUUGAUAAAGUUGUAGAUCAUUUUUGAUCGAUGGAUACUUGUGUCGUGCUAUGAAUAA
This 435-nucleotide unclassified non-coding RNA is filed under the name Hevea brasiliensis (rubber tree). The record is from RNAcentral. Lineage: Eukaryota; Viridiplantae; Streptophyta; Magnoliopsida; Malpighiales; Euphorbiaceae.